GACGGAGGAUGCAGGCGUUAUCCGGAAUUAUUGGGCGUAAAGCGUCCGUAGGUGUCCUAUCAAGUCUGCUGUUAAAUCCCAGGGCUCAACUCUGGAUCAGCAGUGGAAACUGAUAAGCUAGAGUGCGGUAGGGGCAGAGGGAAUUCCCGGUGUAGCGGUGAAAUGCGUAGAUAUCGGGAAGAACACCAGUGGCGAAGGCGCUCUGCUGGGCCGUAACUGACACUCAUGGACGAAGGCUAGGGGACCUAAAGGG
This 253-nucleotide ribosomal RNA is filed under the name uncultured bacterium. RNAcentral's name for it is "partial 16S ribosomal RNA". It matches the Rfam family "Bacterial small subunit ribosomal RNA", at positions 524 to 776 of the family's 1533-position model. The record is from RNAcentral.